This 429-nucleotide ribosomal RNA is filed under the name Chloroflexota bacterium. RNAcentral describes it as "Chloroflexi bacterium partial 16S ribosomal RNA". It matches the Rfam family "Bacterial small subunit ribosomal RNA", at positions 355 to 776 of the family's 1533-position model. The record is from RNAcentral. Lineage: Bacteria; Bacillati; Chloroflexota.
UGGGGAAUAUUGCACAAUGGGCGCAAGCCUGAUGCAGCCAUGCCGCGUGUGUGAAGAAGGCCUUCGGGUUGUAAAGCACUUUCAGCGGGGAGGAAGGCGUUAAGGUUAAUAACCUUGGCGAUUGACGUUACCCGCAGAAGAAGCACCGGCUAACUCCGUGCCAGCAGCCGCGGUAAUACGGAGGGUGCAAGCGGUAAUCGGAAUUACUGGGCGUAAAGCGCACGCAGGCGGUCUGUCAAGUCGGAUGUGAAAUCCCCGGGCUCAACCUGGGAACUGCAUUCUAAACUGGCAGGCUAGAGUCUUGUAGAGGGGGGUAGAAUUCCAGGUGUAGCGGUGAAAUGCGUAGAGAUCUGGAGGAAUACCCGUGGCGAAGGCGGCCCCCUGGACAAAGACUGACGCUCAGGUGCGAAAGCGUGGGGAGCAAACAGG